RNAcentral lists this ribosomal RNA (465 nucleotides) under uncultured bacterium. RNAcentral describes it as "partial 16S ribosomal RNA". It matches the Rfam family "Bacterial small subunit ribosomal RNA", at positions 28 to 507 of the family's 1533-position model. The record is from RNAcentral.
GACGAACGCUGGCGGCGUGCUUAACACAUGCAAGUCGAACGGAAAGGCCCUGCUUGCAGGGUACUCGAGUGGCGAAUGGGUGAGUAACACGUGCGUGAUCUGCCCUGCACUUCGGGUUAAGCCUGGGCAACUGGGUCUAAUACCGGCUAGGAGCCAUUUUUAGUGUGAUGGUUGGAAAGUUUUGUCGGUGUAGGAUGAGCUCGCGGCCUAUCAGCUUGUUGGUGGGGUAAUGGCCUACCAAGGCGGCGACGGGUAGCCGGCCUGAGAGGGUGGACGGCCACAUUGGGACUGAGAGACGGCCCAGAUUCCUACGGGAGGCAGCAGUGGGGAAUAUUGCACAAUGGGCGCAAGCCUGAUGAAGCGACGCCGCGUGGGGGAUGACGGCCUUCGGGUUGUAAACUCCUUUCGCUAGGGACGAAGCUUUUUGUGACGGUACCUAGAGAAGAAGCACCGGCUAACUACGUG